AACCCCUGUGUGCAAUUUGAAGGACUAAUCACCAACCAAAGCCCUUGUUGGUGUGAGAGGGUGAUUUCUGAAUCUUCAUGGAACUGUUCGCAAAGAUUCCUAGAUCUUUUUCUGGAAAAGCUUCAAAACUCAAAUAGAAAACCUAUGGAGUAUUAGUGAUUUUUAAGACUGGGUGGCAGCAGGGAGAGGACGAGGGAAGCAUUUUGAUGGUCUUAGAGGAUCUGAUCCUUCAAGCACUGUAUGCAUAAGGUAUCUCUUCAAAUCAAUGGGAGUCAUGCCCAGAGAGUUCUUGUAGCAUGGAGUUCUUCAUUAGAGAAGUCUUUGAACAGCACAGGUUAGACAGCAAAGUGCAUCUAUGU
Trachemys scripta elegans is the source of this 359-nucleotide long non-coding RNA. RefSeq lists it as uncharacterized. The transcript is spliced from 3 exons. The record is from RefSeq and is a predicted model, not a curated record. Lineage: Eukaryota; Metazoa; Chordata; Testudines; Emydidae.